RNAcentral lists this ribosomal RNA (255 nucleotides) under uncultured bacterium. RNAcentral describes it as "partial 16S ribosomal RNA". It matches the Rfam family "Bacterial small subunit ribosomal RNA", at positions 524 to 777 of the family's 1533-position model. The record is from RNAcentral.
UACAGAGGGGGCAAGCGUUGUUCGGAAUUACUGGGCGUAAAGGGCGCGUAGGCGGCCUGUUAAGUCGAACGUGAAAUCCCCGGGCUCAACCCGGGAACUGCGUCCGAUACUGGCAGGCUUGAAUCCGGGAGAGGGAUGCGGAAUUCCAGGUGUAGCGGUGAAAUGCGUAGAUAUCUGGAGGAACACCGGUGGCGAAGGCGGCAUCCUGGACCGGCAUUGACGCGUGAGGCACGAAAGCCAGGGGAGCGAAACGGG